GACGAACGCUGGCGGCGUGCUUAACACAUGCAAGUCGAGCGGUAAGGCCCUUUCGGGGGUACACGAGCGGCGAACGGGUGAGUAACACGUGGGUGACCUGCCCUCAGCUCUGGGAUAAGCCCGGGAAACUGGGUCUAAUACUGGAUAUUACUCUGCGGUGCAUGCCGUGGGGUGGAAAGCCUUGUGCGGCUGGGGAUGGGCCCGCGGCCUAUCAGCUUGUUGGUGGGGUGAUGGCCACCAAGGCGACGACGGUAGCCGGCCUGAGAGGGCGACCGGCCACACUGGGACUGAGACACGGCCCAGACUCCUACGGGAGGCAGCAGUGGGGAAUCUUGCGCAAUGGGCGAAAGCCUGACGCAGCGACGCCGCGUGAGGGAUGACGGCCU
Molecule: ribosomal RNA, 386 nt
Filed under: uncultured bacterium
Lineage: Bacteria
Description: bacterial SSU rRNA
Rfam family: Bacterial small subunit ribosomal RNA
Source: RNAcentral